GGAGAUUUGACUACAGAAGUAGGAGGUAUGAUGACAGAAGUAAGAGAUUAGAGUGUUGGGGAUGCAAGCCCAGGAAUGAUAAGUAAUACUAAGGAAUCCUGGCAGCCUCUAGAAGCUAGAAGAAGCAAAGAAUAGAUUCUCUCCUGGAGCCUCCAGAAGGAACCAACUGCGCAGAGAACUUCCAGCUGUGGGGCCAGCUCCCUUCUUUCAGAACACGCUGAGAGGCACCGUUUCAGAAGAACCUGCACUUACAUUCCGUUUCAUCCCCCGUAUAAAAGAAGACUUGCAGGAAGCAAGAAGGCAUCUUACAGGAAAGACAGAAUUUCUAAAAUAGCAACCUCUCUUCCUCGGACCCUCCAUACUGUUCUACAUGGAGUUUUCCAGGGAACUGCCAGACAGAGCAAAUAAUGACAGCGCUCUGGAAACAGGGCUUUGGAGGAUCUUCAGCCCCUUUCUGCCACCUCUGGGGGCUGCCAGGCUGCUGGUGUUCAAGUGACUGUGGAACAGUUGGUCUUCAAGGCUGCCAUGAAACCAAGGACGGGGGAAUAGAAACAGAGCAAGUUAAAAUGCCACAAAGCUUAUUGUUUUUUACUGAUGACAGUCAGCUCUUUUUCUUGAAUAAACUAUCUUUAGCCUGUUGCAAGCCUUUGGUUAAUUUCUAGAGCUGUAAAAAAGUUGAUUUUGACAAUGUUUUUGGCCACUGUUGGUGGUAGUAGUGUGGGUUAAUAGAUGUUUCAGGUGAACAAAUGCUAACAGAAUCUGAAAUAGUACGGUUGUCUCCAGAUGGAAUGGACUGUCUUAGAAGAUAAUGAAUUCCCUGAUUUUCAAACAGAAGCUCAACAACACACGGCCAGGGGUAUUAUGGAGGGAUUCUAACAUCAGAAGAAUGGCUGGACUAGAUCAUGAUGUAUUUUAUUAUUAAAAUAUUGGAUUAUUUUAUUAUUAUUAAAUAUCUUAAAUAGCCACAAAGUAGAUAGUCCUGUUAUCUAGAC
Molecule: long non-coding RNA, 992 nt
Filed under: Equus asinus (donkey)
Lineage: Eukaryota; Metazoa; Chordata; Mammalia; Perissodactyla; Equidae
Description: lncRNA (ENSEASG00005031425.1)
Source: RNAcentral